Molecule: ribosomal RNA, 292 nt
Filed under: uncultured bacterium
Lineage: Bacteria
Description: partial 16S ribosomal RNA
Rfam family: Bacterial small subunit ribosomal RNA
Source: RNAcentral
UUUUCCUACGGGGGGCAGCAGUGGGGGAUAUUGCACAAUGGGGGGAACCCUGAUGCAGCGACGCCGCGUGGGCGAUGGAGUGCUUCGGCAUGUAAAGCCCUAUCAGCAGGGAAGAAAAUGACGGUACCUGACUAAGAAGCUCCGGCUAACUACGUGCCAGCAGCCGCGGUAAUACGUAGGGAGCGAGCGCUGUCCGGAAUUACUGGGCGUAAAGGGCGCGUAGGCGGGAACUUAAGUUAGAUGUGAAAACUCCGGGCUUAACCUGGAGACUGCAUUUAAAAAUGGGUUUCUU